UGUCCAGUCCUAUGCGGCGAAAGCCCGUGAACCCCGUCAGGUCCGGAAGGAAGCAGCGGUAAGCGGAGUCUUUUGGGUGCCAUGGGGUCACUGGACUCCC
RNAcentral lists this signal recognition particle RNA (100 nucleotides) under Synergistetes bacterium HGW-Synergistetes-1. Its description in RNAcentral is "signal recognition particle sRNA small type". It matches the Rfam family "Bacterial small signal recognition particle RNA". Rfam says of the family: The signal recognition particle (SRP) is a universally conserved ribonucleoprotein involved in the co-translational targeting of proteins to membranes. Archaeal SRP consists of a 7S RNA and homologues of the eukaryotic SRP19 and SRP54 proteins. The record is from RNAcentral. Lineage: Bacteria; Thermotogati; Synergistota. RNAcentral also lists the same sequence under 1 other name.